UGCACAGGAAUUUUUGUUUAAAUAAACAGGUAGUUUAAUUGAAAACGUGGUUUGGUUUUCGAGAGGUCAUUAUCAUACCUUGUUAUCUUUAUGAUAGUUUGGACAGUCUGGCGACUUGUGAACGAGAGUGUACAUACAUAAUACAUAUGUAUAACGCGAGUGGAUAGCAGCCCCGAUAGAUAAAGAUCUUUCGAACGGCGACGACGCGACGCCCCCGUGUUUUUUGGCACGGGGCCCAAAGUGUUUCUGGUCUAGACGUCUACGGGGUUCCUGCGAGCCGCGUCUUGCAUUUUUGAUCGAUUCAAUUAAUUCCGCGAGAGCGCGCGCGCGCGCGCACGCCUGCCGAUCGAAGAUUCGAUUCGCUCUUUGUGCGAUUCGAUGGCUAGAAUCAGUCAGACUUAUAGCAAAGUCGAUUUUGAAUAUUCUGAUUUUAGUAACCAAAGUAUCAACACUGGUUUUAGUAUUAUUUAUCAAUUUUCUCAUUAUAAGGUUUUUUAAUUAUUUAUUUAACAUUACGUGCAUGAGCCAAAAAUUUCUAUUAUACUUAACAUAAAUCCUUGACAAUUAGAGUACGUAAAUUGAAAAAAUGAUUGAGAAACCCGCUUCUACUUGAACUACGGUAAUUCUUAACGUGAUUUCAAACUGGGUUAAGACGUUCCCAUCAUCGUUUGCGUAUGACCGCGUAAUAACACGGCAUUGUUGCAGGAGACUUGCGAGGUAUCCAGGAAAUUGGCGGUUUCCAAGUCUGCAAAGCCUCUCAGUAUUAUUACGAGGGCGUCGAUGAUUGAACACGCGUUGCCCUCUCGCUUCCGUUUUCCAACUUCCUAGUCACGGUGCUGUUGGGAGCUUAACGCCGGUUUUGUCACUUGUUUCGACGCAAUGCUUUGUCGACGGGGAACGGUGCGAACGGUUGAGAAACGCGAUUGCACGUGUUGCGCACGCGGGCGAAGAAACGCGGCACGCGUCAGAAGGGUGCCCGUUUAACGAUCACUGUCACCGGCAGCUCGAACCGUGUAACGAUCCUUCGAUGAGUCGGUCAACAAGCACCCCUGCGGAACCUUUGUUCUCGCACGUGUUCCUGGCGAGGACUGUUUCUUUGUAGCGUUACAGUUCAAUAGAGACUGCGUCGAGCAAAGAAAAAAUGAUAAACAGCAGACUGUAAAACUUUAUCUCGUGCCAAUGUGAAAAACAUUUAAAAGCGGUAAUAAAAAUAUAUGUAUUAAUGUAAAUGCUAAUCUUUGAAUGAAUAAAUUAAAUAAAAUUGAAUUGGGAAGGAAGUACGUUUCCUAACUUAGGGAGUUUGUAUGUCCUGUAUUGAUUUCUUAUCCGUGCAUCGGAUUGACACGAGGGUUAAACGAAGUCCGGGCGAUCGAGGGUGUACAGAAAACGAGCGCACAAGGGUUGAUAAUUAUUCAUCAAACAGGCCCUAUCCGAUAUUAUAAUCAAGAUAUACACGAGUCGCAUUAAAUCUGCCAGCUAACGUUAUUAAUCUCACGGGCAUCGGUACCGCAAAUCGGAGAGGCGGCCGGCUGUACGUUAAUGAGCCGGGGAUUUCGAAAUGCGACCGGGUGACACGCGAUGUUAUCCACCCCUUUUUGCACGGUUUAAAUAGCGGUGCCCGGCUGAGUCACGGUCAAAGUCAGAUACGCGACGCGAUAACCAAACCCUAGCCGGGGGUUGGAGAAAAACACGAGCGCCGACAGUGGCAUCCGGUUCCGAUGCGGACGUUGGAUUCUACCCCCGCGACGAUGAAAAGUCUUCGUUAAUUAACCUCCGCGUUUCCCAUCCGCGUGUACAUACGCCGGCACCGCGAGCCCCCGGUAUCCAUCGAUCGACGCGGCCGUUGAAUGACAACGUCCCUUUCUGCUUCCGUUCAUUUCGCGGGAAACUGUAUUAUGAGUCCGCGGUACGUUUAUUAGUGAAGGUUUGAUACACGCGUGUCUCGUCUCCCCGGCUUUCAAAUCAACAGAAACAGACCGGCUGAAUCCGUUCCGCGUCUUGCAAAAUCGAUAGAUUUUGCGAAAAAUCUCUAAUUCAAUUCUAGCUACAAUUUUUAAGUAUCAUUUCUGAAACAUGCGAUGCAUAUAAUGUCUCAAUUCACAUUGAAUGCUGUAAUAAAAAGAAUACCAGAAAUAUCAUGAAAUCUGUAUUAAAUAAACUAAUUACGUAUUUUAUUAAUGAACAUGUGAUUCGAUGAUGAAGGGAUAAGGAAGAAACGUAUCUUUGAGGAUGUAUCUUUGAACUGUAAUCAAGUCUGCGAUCCCUCGAAACUUGCUAAUCCCCUUUCUGUCCGUUAGCCUAGGCCCUGUAUUAAUCGCGGGAUGCCAGAACCUUUAGAAACGGAUUAUUACCUGUAACGAGAAUAGUUCACUGAUAGUUCAACCCCUUAGCCAGUGGCUGAUUAUUUGGCCAAAUAGACGGUCAAAGAAAACUUUCCGGAGACUAUGCGAUACCGGAACGGAUAUACGUGGGAUGGGUGCAACCAAUUUUCCUAAGUUGCGUUUGAACAUCUCAAGUGAAAUUGCAAUCGGCGCAGUUACACGAUUUAAACAAAAAUUCAGAUCAUAAUAAAAUUUAUAUAUUCACACGUUUAUGAAAUCUGUUUAAAUUUUUAACUGCUGUCUAAACUACUAAAUUUAACCACGGAUAAUAAUUUCUCUAUCCCUUUUUAAUUUCUCUCCGCUUUUACUUUAACGACGCGAUACGUCGCGACGUAUCGAGCUUUAGGUUAGCAAGCGUAAUAACGCACGAUAAGUGAGAUUAACAAGCUGACUAACGUGGCACGGUACCUGUAUGCUGAAGGGGCUGGAACUCCGUUAAACUGCGCCUAGCUCCACGCUUUAAUUUGCACGCGCCGCAUCAGGGAUCAUAGCGAUAAUUACGUGAUCGCUGUCACAUGCCAGGGAUAUUAAAAUGGUUAGCAGUAAUUAAUGCCGAGCGAAUUACUGAUUUAACGUCAACCAUCCGUUUCACCCCUACACGACGGGACUCGCAGACGUUCUCGAGUUCAUCUUUUUGGGCUGCCAUUAGUAAACGUCCACGGGAUCGGGUUUUUUCAGGGUUUCACAAAUUUCAAAAGCAUGAACAAAUUCGUAUUUAUAAGAAAAUACAGUAGCGGCAAAAAAUAUUUAAGUACCUUAAUAUGGCGUAAAUUCUUAAUUUAAGUUACGUCUCUCUAUAAUCUGCUAAUGAGUGUUUGCAUGUGUUUGAGCAAGAAAAAAAUGAAUCGGCAGCCUUAAAAUCGUAAAUUGCUGCAAUUCGAAAUCAGUUGAUUAUGCGAUUAAAUUGACCUCCACAAUUAAUGAAUACGGCUGUCACGUAAUGUUUGUUCGCAUUAAUAGCCGUCGCGGGAGUUUAAUGAGGAAUCUCUCGAUUAAGAAAAAGCAGCGUGACAAAUCGACGACGAUUCAAAGGCGCGGAUGAUGAAUGGUCUCGCGUGCGGACGGGAUUCCUCUUGUUACACGAUCCAGAGAUUUUUCGGUACAUAAAUAAGGAAAGCGUAUUACCAUACUCGUCCCCGCGAUUAAAUGCAACAGCUUCCAGUUAAUGGCAUUAGUCGUAACUCCUUCAGAAUAAAUACGGCCACCGUCAAGCCGGAUGGAUGGGACCUUCGUUUGAGUCGUUCUAAGGCCGCUCGAUCGACGUCUUCGACGGCUUACCGACGAGAAAGGGAAAGGAUGUACAACGCACGAUUUUUCUCCUCGUUUUGUUUUUAAUACGGCGUCCGGAUGAUUUAUUGGUCUUAUUGCGGCGGCGUCGAGAAUGCUUCAUUCUAAUUAUGCGGAGUCCCGCAAGCAAAAUAAUAAUUCUCUUCUUUAUUUACGAGUAUUAAUGAUCGCCUUCCUCGUUCCCUAACGACUAUCAAUUUGUCCGUUUGAGAGUUAUCUCGUCCAAUUAUUUGCACUGUAACGAUUACUGCUUACGUUGCGUAUAAUGUAUUUCCAAUUAGUUACACAAAUACAGGACACUGUACAUGUGUUAUGUAAUUUUCAUUGACGGCAAUAAAGUACAAUUCUUGACCUAUU
Molecule: long non-coding RNA, 4025 nt
Organism: Ceratina calcarata
Lineage: Eukaryota; Metazoa; Arthropoda; Insecta; Hymenoptera; Apidae
Exons: 2
Source: RefSeq, a predicted model, not a curated record